Vespa mandarinia (Asian giant hornet) is the source of this 950-nucleotide long non-coding RNA. The record is from RefSeq and is a predicted model, not a curated record. Lineage: Eukaryota; Metazoa; Arthropoda; Insecta; Hymenoptera; Vespidae.
GGUGCGAAAGCGAGAGGUAGUCUCCGUGCUGUCGAGCCCUUAGGUACACCUUACUACUACGCGCGAAAAAAGAACUUCAUCGUGUCUCUUCGAUUUUUAUCCAGAUCUCAUCACUCGUUAGGCCGCUGCUCGUACGCUUUUUUUCACCAAAAAAGAAGCUUGCGAGCCCGCUCGAUAGCCUGUUCUCGAUGUCGAAUUAAAAGAAAAUAGGAAGAGUGCAGAAAGAAAAGAGAGAGAGAGAAAGAUAGAGAUAGAGAUAGAUAGAUAGAUAGAGAGAGAGAGAGAGAGAGAGAGAGAGAAAAGAAAAGAGGAGAAAAAAAUUAUUACAAAAUCAACGGGAAGACGAGCGACAAAAAGAAAUCAAGGGAACGGACUUCGCGUGAAACUACUGAUGGGACGUACGAACAUAAAAAAAAAAAAAAAGGGGGAAAUACUUAACCUAAAUCGUUCAUAAUCGCCAAAAGCACUUUAAUCUUCGUUCCGAGAUUCACGGUGGCGGCCUCGAUGGCGGCGGUGCCUCGUCGAAGUAAAAUAAUUGAAUAAGCCGGAGGCGGAAGCUAGACUAGGAAGAGUAGAGGGGUAGCAGGGAGAAAGGAUAGAAAGAGAUAGACAGACGUCGAGAGAGAUAGAUAGAUAGAUAAAGAAAGAGAGAGAGAGAGAGAGAGAGAAAGAGAGAUAGAGAAAAGUACCUUUCGUAAGACGAAAUUUAUAAUAAUUCUAUCGGCACCCACAGGGCUCUGUAAGAGGGAUGAUAAGGCUCCUUUCCUUUUGACUAAGAGGAAGGACCUUCGUCGUUCUUUAGUCCUUCCAAGAAGGAACAGUUAAAGAGAUAAGACGUUAAGAAGAAAGAAAGAGGAGAAUCGCACUGUUCCAAUUUCAAGAAGGAGAAGAAUAACAAUAUUAAUAAUAAUAAUAAUAGAAAAAGGAAAGAGACGAGAGGAACGAAGGGA